UACGGAGGGUGCGAGCGUUGUUCGGAAUUAUUGGGCGUAAAGCGCGUGUAGGCGGUUCUUUAAGUCUGAUGUGAAAGCCCCGGGCCCAACCUGGGAAGUGCAUUGGAUACUGGAGGACUUGAGUACGGGAGAGGGUAGUGGAAUUCCUAGUGUAGGAGUGAAAUCCGUAGAUAUUAGGAGGAACACCGGUGGCGAAGGCGGCUACCUGGACCGAUACUGACGCGGAGACGCGAAAGCGUGGGGAGCAAACAGG
RNAcentral lists this ribosomal RNA (253 nucleotides) under uncultured bacterium. Its description in RNAcentral is "partial 16S ribosomal RNA". It matches the Rfam family "Bacterial small subunit ribosomal RNA", at positions 524 to 776 of the family's 1533-position model. The record is from RNAcentral.